Molecule: long non-coding RNA, 1294 nt
Organism: Salvelinus sp. IW2-2015
Lineage: Eukaryota; Metazoa; Chordata; Actinopteri; Salmoniformes; Salmonidae
Source: RefSeq, a predicted model, not a curated record
GGCAAGCCUGUUACUGGAGAGCCGCAGGUAUUGCAGGAUUUUGUUCCAACUAGGCACCACACCUGACCAACUGAGCUAAUUGAUCAGUGAUUGCCUCAAUUGAACACAGCUGGCCUUCCAGGUUGGUUAAAUGAAAUACAGGAACCCCAGGACCAGGCUCACCUACCCACGUGUUAAACUAACAAGGGUAGAAACUCAAACAUUUUACCAUGCAGCAUUAUCAAAUGUUAGCUUGAUUGAUUUAAUUUAUCGAUUUGAUAUAUUUUCUUAUUGGUUUACUAAAAUGUUCUGUAUCCAUUAUCCUAACCUGAAGCUGUUUUUCUAUUCCCAACGACUGAUGGAUGUCUCAUUUUGACUGAUUUCGGAGUCAAGCGGGACCCAGCAACACUGAACAUCUUCUCAGGGAACAUCAUGAAUUUACUGAGUGCACCAGCUCAUGGGGUGAGGAUAAUCGGCAGCUCAACCCUGGCCCUGUGUCUUGAUAGCCACGGAGGCGGCUGAGGCCUACUACCAGUAUGGGCUGCACUGCUGGGACAUCCGAGAGGCUGGGGGAGUUGUCAUAGACACCACAGGCCUGGGGUGUUGCACAAAAGGACCACUGUUGAGAGACUGGGCGUGAGGUCGGGAUCAUGUGGUCAGCUGCCGUUCAGUCUCUGGCAGUCCAGAAGCUCAGCUAUCAACUCCUUCCCUGAAAUGGGUCCUCUCGACCUCAUGUCCUGAAGAGUGGUUGCUGCAGGAACCCACAACAUGGCCAGUUACAUCGUCCAGCAACUGCAGCCAAUCGGCUACGAGUGGGAUGACAGUGACCCUGGUUUGCAAAAGUAAAAGUCGACCUCCAUCUAUCCAGUGGAUUCUCCCCCGCCUUUCACCUCAAAUCAUGAAAUGUUGCCGCAGAGUAUGCAAGCCUGCUCUUUUUUUAAAGGAGAUUUAGCUAAAACAUCAUUUUCCUCCUUUUAAUAUGGCAAUAUUUGUACAGUAUAUUGUAAGUAUGCAAUAAUAUACACGGCCAGAUAAUAAUUAGUGACUAGAUUUACAGUAGUAAUCACAUAGACACUCCUUAGCUCUUACAGUUGAAACACUGACUGAAGUUUGUCACGUUUAACUGUUUUUUUACUUUUCUAAAUAUGGAUCCUCAUACCAACAAAGGAAAAUUCUGAAAAAUMUAGAUGUGUUUUCAAUGACGUAAUGAAAAUAGUUGAACCAGGUUUGUAUGGAGCUAGAAGUAUGGUUUGUAGUGAUGGUUGUGGAUGCUAAGACUUACAUCACUGCCAAAACCGUUAUUCACUAUAUUAUA